This 281-nucleotide long non-coding RNA is filed under the name Lathyrus oleraceus (garden pea). Its description in RNAcentral is "Pisum sativum (pea) long non-coding RNA (PSAT_LNC029629)". Lineage: Eukaryota; Viridiplantae; Streptophyta; Magnoliopsida; Fabales; Fabaceae. The record is from RNAcentral.
CCUUUUCCUUUGGCUCUGGCUGGAAUGGUGCGUGGAGGCAUGGUGAUAUGAGAUUUAGGGUUUUACCAAGUUUGUGAGAGAGUGAAGAUGAGAAGGAUUAGGGUUAGCCACUGGUUUUGGGGUUUUUGAGGGCAGAUGAGAUGAAGUAAUGAGAUAAGAGAUGAUAUGAUUGGUUGAUGUGUCGAUGCAUGAGAGAGAAAAAGAAUGCAUUUAAUUCAGAUGACAGCAGUAAGUAUCGAUGCAGAGAGUUAUGCGUCGAUGCCAAGUAUUUCAAAAUUGUC